CUUUAAAACUCCCACAGAUUUUCGUGGCUGUCAGACAGCAAACAAGGCGAGGGAUAAAACAUAACUAUGAAUUGGAUGCUGUGGCAACAAUGCAUUGUCUCCAUAAACCUCUGCCCUAUUUAAUCUUUGGUGUUCUCUUUGGAUAUGUUAUCCCACUCUCUUCCCUUCUCCAAGUUUCUCCAGUGACUUGUGGGGGCAAGAACAUCUCUUCAUGUUGUGGACACUGUGUCACAUCCCAAGAGGGAGUCAGUGAAUUAGAUUGCUUUGGUAAACAUCUGAGCUUAAGUAUGAUCAGCUGGAAAUGUGUGUGGACACCUAUAAAACACCAAACACAAAGAUACACACUCUGUAUAGAACAGAAAACACAUUGCAAAAUACAUGAAAACAUAUCGGAGACGUCUCAGACUAUUGUUCUGUCCAAAAAGUUCAACAUGACAGCUCAUGUAUUUGACAAGAGUGACUUGAAGAGCUGCACAAAGACUGUUUUCAGAGGUUCACCUCAACAAUUGGUUCGAUGCGGCCCCCCAUCUAAUGUACACUUGAAUCGACAUUCAAGACAGCUGGAUAUCCAGGCCUCCUGGAGGAAGGAGGAGACCAAAUAUAUCCCUCUUUACUCUGUGAGAUACAAGGAGCUGAACAGCCCGCAAUGGAAAGAGCCACCAGUGCAAUCCAAGGAUAGAAAUAGGUGCACUGUGGGUAAUCUUAACUCCUCACUGUCCUAUGAGGUGCAGAUAGAGUGUGUGGCCAACAACAAAUGUACCCAGUGCCCCUGGAGCGAAGUUUUCACAGUCCCACCCGUUUGCAGCCAGUGAGUUAGCGGAGGGCUACAGUGUUUCCGUGGGGAAAGCCUCAGGAGAGGACCCUAUUGAGACCUUCAACACCAGCAGGCAGCUACUCAUAGUGACCCUGUCUCACUCAGCCUACCACCUCAAAAUCACAGCUCUCAACGGGGCUGGGACCUCACCUGCAGCACAGUGCACUAUAUGGCCACUGGACGACAAAGACUUAUAUGGGAAGCUGAAUCUGACAUUCAAUGGCAACACAUCCUUUACUGUCUCCUGGGUAGAUGACCUGAUCAAAACCUACUCCUGCUUCUCAGUGGAGUGGUGGACGAGAGGAAUCAAAGCUGCUCACAAGUCCUUCUAUGAGGAUGAGAACAAUUAUGAAGUCAUACCAUUGCGCGAGCCAUUAGAGCUGUAUAAGAGGUAUACCUUCACUCUGCACACGAGGCCAGACAAAGAGACCUGCAACCUGAAGUUCAUCAACAACAGCGAGAGCACCUACGGGAGCAUCCAGUCCUACUUCACUGAAGGAUCCCCAAUUAGUGCCCCAGGGAACAUCAGCAGCAGUAAUGUUACCCAGAGCUCCAUGGUGCUGGAGUGGACAUCAGUCCCUGAGAAGGACACCAGAGGUUUCCUGCUGGGCUACAUCCUCCACUACACAAAGAGCCCGGAUGACAGGAUAGACGUUGAAAAAAACGUCACUGUGGAUGCUGGUUCAACCAGCUACGAGUUGGUGGACCUACAAAGCAAUACUGUGUACCAAGUCCAGCUGUCUGCCUUCACUGCUGCAGGAAUGGGAGUGAGAAGCUCAGCUGUAUACUUCGAAACCAAGUCAACAGGUUUGCGUGUUGAUCUUUCAUCAAUGGUUGUAUUGUAAUCUCUGAUAUCCCACAUUUGGAAUGCCAUUUUGUAUUAAUUUAAAGGACCUGUGCUGCCUGCUUUCCCUCCCCAGUAUCCCAGUCUAUUGGUGGUAUGAUAGCAGGGGUCGUUAUUGGAGCAACUUUACUCUUACUUGUGGUUAAUCUCGGCUCUUUGUUGUUAAAAAGAGCAAAGAGACUACUUUGGCCAAGUAUCCCUAAUCCUGGUAACAGCAAUGCCAUCCAGAAAAUAGAUGGGGUCUGCGAGCUGGAACUCCUGGAGCCCAUCAACAAACAGAAGUUAGAGGAAGAGGGGGACGCCAACAGUCUGCACAUUGUUGACAGUAGAGAAGAAAAGUCUCCCUUUAGCAACCUCCAUAGCAACACCGACUCAUGUCUACACCUCAACACAGAACACGAGGAGAAUCAAGGGCCUUCAAAGACAACCGCAGACUCUACCGAGCCCACUAAAGUAGACCCUCAAAUCAACGUGGGCUUGUGCCGAAGAAACACAGCCACAGACAGUAGCGCUCAAGAUCCCACUUCUGACACCAUUAAACCUACCAUAGACACAAGACAGACAGACCCUGUCCCCAUUAGUGCGGUGGCCCACCAGUGCCCGCAGUUGUCCUUUAUGAGUGAUUACACGACCAUGGAACUCUUCCAACAGGCUAUGACACAAUGUGUUCCAGCCACUAUAACAUUGGAACCUCAUGGCCAGUCAAGCCAGUCAGAGUACACAGACUCACCCCUGACCAGACCAGAGUCAGAUUACAUACACCAGUCCCUCUAUGAUACUGUCCUUCACCUGUCCCAAGGCAGCACAAGUCCAACUGAGGUGUAUUACACGGUUCUUUGAGAACGUUUACUGUAGAUUCUAGAAUCUGCCUUUCUCACAGAUGUGGUGGAACAAUUCUCAGGCCUUUCAUCUAUGUAAAAAAGCCAGCUGCUGCCAUCAGUGUCACCCUGUUGACUAGCCUACUUAUAUUUCUGGACAUAUUGGAUCGUCAUAACUCUGGAAUGAGAAACCUUUCAAUGACAUACAGGAACUUUAAAAGGCUGUUAUCCUAUCAAUACGUGUAUUGAGGGAUUGUUUGAGGAGCAGAAAUUUCCCAAUUGUUUUUUUGUGGUUUUUAAUAAAAUCAUGAAUCAGAGACCA
This is an RNA transcript of Oncorhynchus kisutch (coho salmon), 2798 nucleotides long. It is a transcript of the gene named interleukin-31 receptor subunit alpha, with no coding region annotated. The transcript is spliced from 14 exons. Lineage: Eukaryota; Metazoa; Chordata; Actinopteri; Salmoniformes; Salmonidae. The record is from RefSeq and is a predicted model, not a curated record.